GACGAACGCUGGCGGCGUGCUUAACACAUGCAAGUCGAACGGAAAGGCCCUGCUUUUGUGGGGUGCUCGAGUGGCGAACGGGUGAGUAACACGUGAGUAACCUGCCCUUGACUUUGGGAUAACUUCAGGAAACUGGGGCUAAUACCGGAUAGGAGCUCCUGCUGCAUGGUGGGGGUUGGAAAGUUUCGGCGGUUGGGGAUGGACUCGCGGCUUAUCAGCUUGUUGGUGGGGUAGUGGCUUACCAAGGCUUUGACGGGUAGCCGGCCUGAGAGGGUGACCGGCCACAUUGGGACUGAGAUACGGCCCAGACUCCUACGGGAGGCAGCAGUGGGGAAUAUUGCACAAUGGGCGGAAGCCUGAUGCAGCAACGCCGCGUGCGGGAUGACGGCCUUCGGGCUGUAAACCGCUUUCGCCUGUGACGAAGCGUGAGUGACGGUAAUGGGUAAAGAAGCACCGGCUAACUGCGUG
RNAcentral lists this ribosomal RNA (468 nucleotides) under uncultured bacterium. Its description in RNAcentral is "partial 16S ribosomal RNA". It matches the Rfam family "Bacterial small subunit ribosomal RNA", at positions 28 to 507 of the family's 1533-position model. The record is from RNAcentral.